RNAcentral lists this ribosomal RNA (243 nucleotides) under uncultured Planctomycetales bacterium. Its description in RNAcentral is "partial 16S ribosomal RNA". It matches the Rfam family "Bacterial small subunit ribosomal RNA", at positions 434 to 677 of the family's 1533-position model. Lineage: Bacteria; Pseudomonadati; Planctomycetota; Planctomycetia; Planctomycetales. The record is from RNAcentral.
UUAUGAAAUGUAAGGAUGUUAAUAGUAUUCUUACUUGACUAAGGCUCCGGAGGAAGCCACGGCUAACUCUGUGCCAGCAGCCGCGGUAAUACAGAGGCGGCAAGCGUUGUUCGGAAUUAUUGGGCGUAAAGAGCAUGUAGGCGGCUAUGCAAGUCGGUUGUGAAAGCCUCCCGCUUAACGGAAGAAUGGCGGCCGAAACUGCAUAGCUUGAGUGCGGUAGGGGAGAGUGGAACUUCUGGUAAU